AGAGUUGGUCAGACAGUCGCCGCCGCGUUUCGCGGGGGAGGAAAGUCCGGACUCCACAGGGCAGGGUGAUGGCUAACGGCCAUCCGUGGCAACACGAGGAACAGGGCAACAGAGAACAGACCGCCGAUGGCCCGCUGGCGCAAGCCGGCGGGAUCAGGUAAGGGUGAAACGGUGCGGUAAGAGCGCACCGCGGGUCGCGGCGACGCGCCUGGCACGGUAACCUCCACCCGGAGCAAUUCCAAAUAGGCAGACACGCCAUCCUCGCGAUGGCAGGGCGGGGCCCCCGUCGCGUCUGCGGGUAGGAAGCUCGAGCAUGCCAGCAAUGGUACGCCUAGACGAAUGACUGUCACGUGCGGCAACGCAUGCACAGAAUCCGGCUUAUCGACCGGCUCCACGC
Molecule: RNase P RNA, 397 nt
Filed under: Chitinasiproducens palmae
Lineage: Bacteria; Pseudomonadati; Pseudomonadota; Betaproteobacteria; Burkholderiales; Burkholderiaceae
Description: Bacterial RNase P class A
Rfam family: Bacterial RNase P class A
About the family: Ribonuclease P (RNase P) is a ubiquitous endoribonuclease, found in archaea, bacteria and eukarya as well as chloroplasts and mitochondria. Its best characterised activity is the generation of mature 5'-ends of tRNAs by cleaving the 5'-leader elements of precursor-tRNAs.
Source: Rfam by way of RNAcentral